UUUUCGCCGCAGCCUAACACAUGCAAGUCGAGCGGAUGAAGAGAGCUUGCUCUCUGAUUCAGCGGCGGACGGGUGAGUAAUGCCUAGGAAUCUGCCUAUUAGUGGGGGACAACGUUUCGAAAGGAACGCUAAUACCGCAUACGUCCUACGGGAGAAAGCAGGGGACCUUCGGGCCUUGCGCUAAUAGAUGAGCCUAGGUCGGAUUAGCUAGUUGGUGAGGUAAAGGCUCACCAAGGCGACGAUCCGUAACUGGUCUGAGAGGAUGAUCAGUCACACUGGAACUGAGACACGGUCCAGACUCCUACGGGAGGCAGCAGUGGGGAAUAUUGGACAAUGGGCGAAAGCCUGAUCCAGCCAUGCCGCGUGUGUGAAGAAGGUCUUCGGAUUGUAAAGCACUUUAAGUUGGGAGGAAGGGCAGUAAGUUAAUACCUUGCUGUUUUGACGUUACCGACAGAAUAAGCACCGGCUAACUUCGUGCCAGCAGCCGCGGUAAUACGAAGGGUGCAAGCGUUAAUCGGAAUUACUGGGCGUAAAGCGCGCGUAGGUGGUUCGUUAAGUUGGAUGUGAAAGCCCCGGGCUCAACCUGGGAACUGCAUCCAAAACUGGCGAGCUAGAGUAUGGCAGAGGGUGGUGGAAUUUCCUGUGUAGCGGUGAAAUGCGUAGAUAUAGGAAGGAACACCAGUGGCAAGCGACCACCUGGGCUAAUACUGACCUGGUGCGAAAGCGUGGGGACAAACGGUAGAAAAA
RNAcentral lists this ribosomal RNA (747 nucleotides) under Stutzerimonas stutzeri. Its description in RNAcentral is "bacterial SSU rRNA". It matches the Rfam family "Bacterial small subunit ribosomal RNA", at positions 34 to 783 of the family's 1533-position model. Lineage: Bacteria; Pseudomonadati; Pseudomonadota; Gammaproteobacteria; Pseudomonadales; Pseudomonadaceae. The record is from RNAcentral.